This 24-nucleotide non-coding RNA is filed under the name Arabidopsis thaliana (thale cress). The record is from RNAcentral. Lineage: Eukaryota; Viridiplantae; Streptophyta; Magnoliopsida; Brassicales; Brassicaceae.
CGUUGUAGUGACGGCUUGUGCGGC